AACGCACAUUGCGCCCCUUGGUAUUCCUAGGGGCAUGCCUAUUCGAGCGUCGUUUCCACCCUCAAGCGCAAGCUUGGUGUUGGGGAUCGCCCCUCCCCCCGGGGAGGCGGCGGCCCUUGAAUCCAUCGGCGGUGCCGGUGCGGCCUGGAGCGCAGCAGCGAUGCAGCUUCCUUGGGCCCGCCCGACGCCUGCCGCGAACGACGGACGACCCCUCGCGGGUCGGACGCAACCCCCCCAAACGUCGACCUCGAAUUAGGUAGGGAUACCCGCUGAACUUAA
RNAcentral lists this unclassified non-coding RNA (279 nucleotides) under uncultured fungus. RNAcentral's name for it is "partial contains 5.8S ribosomal RNA, internal transcribed spacer 2, and large subunit ribosomal RNA". Lineage: Eukaryota; Fungi. The record is from RNAcentral.